UACGUAGGGGCCUAGCGUUGUCCGGAAUUAUUGGGCGUAAAGAGCUCGUAGGCGGUUCGGCAAGUCGGAUGUGAAAUCUCCACGCUUAACGUGGAGGGGCCAUUCGAAACUGCCGUGACUCGAGUCCGGUAGGGGAGUGUGGAAUUCCCGGUGUGGCGGUGAAAUGCGCAGAUAUCGGGAGGAACACCAGUAGCGAAGGCGGCACUCUGGGCCGGUACUGACGCUGAGGAGCGAAAGCGUGGGGAGCGAACAGG
RNAcentral lists this ribosomal RNA (254 nucleotides) under uncultured bacterium. RNAcentral describes it as "partial 16S ribosomal RNA". It matches the Rfam family "Bacterial small subunit ribosomal RNA", at positions 524 to 776 of the family's 1533-position model. The record is from RNAcentral.